RNAcentral lists this ribosomal RNA (472 nucleotides) under Burkholderia multivorans. Its description in RNAcentral is "bacterial SSU rRNA". It matches the Rfam family "Bacterial small subunit ribosomal RNA", at positions 18 to 483 of the family's 1533-position model. The record is from RNAcentral. Lineage: Bacteria; Pseudomonadati; Pseudomonadota; Betaproteobacteria; Burkholderiales; Burkholderiaceae.
CCUGGCUCAGAUUGAACGCUGGCGGCAUGCCUUACACAUGCAAGUCGAACGGCAGCACGGGUGCUUGCACCUGGUGGCGAGUGGCGAACGGGUGAGUAAUACAUCGGAACAUGUCCUGUAGUGGGGGAUAGCCCGGCGAAAGCCGGAUUAAUACCGCAUACGAUCUACGGAUGAAAGCGGGGGACCUUCGGGCCUCGCGCUAUAGGGUUGGCCGAUGGCUGAUUAGCUAGUUGGUGGGGUAAAGGCCUACCAAGGCGACGAUCAGUAGCUGGUCUGAGAGGACGACCAGCCACACUGGGACUGAGACACGGCCCAGACUCCUACGGGAGGCAGCAGUGGGGAAUUUUGGACAAUGGGCGAAAGCCUGAUCCAGCAAUGCCGCGUGUGUGAAGAAGGCCUUCGGGUUGUAAAGCACUUUUGUCCGGAAAGAAAUCCCUGGCUCUAAUACAGUCGGGGGAUGACGGUACCGAAG